UACGUAGGUGGCAAGCGUUACUCGGAAUCACUAGGCGUAAAGCGCAGGUAGGUGGUUGGAUAAGUCUAUUGUGAAAGCUCCUGGCUUAACUGGGAGAGGUCAACAGAAACUGUCCGGCUAGAGUGUGGUAGGGGAAACUGGAAUUCCUGGUGUAGCGGUGAAAUGCGUAGAUAUCAGGAGGAAUACCAAUGGCGAAAGCAGGUUUCUGGGCCAUCACUGACACUGAGCUGCGAAAGCUAGGGGAGCAAACAGG
Molecule: ribosomal RNA, 253 nt
Filed under: uncultured bacterium
Lineage: Bacteria
Description: partial 16S ribosomal RNA
Rfam family: Bacterial small subunit ribosomal RNA
Source: RNAcentral